GAUGAACGCUGGCGGCGUGCCUAAUACAUGCAAGUCGAGCGAACAGACGAGGAGCUUGCUCCUCUGACGUUAGCGGCGGACGGGUGAGUAACACGUGGAUAACCUACCUAUAAGACUUGGAUAACUUCGGGAAACCGGAGCUAAUACCGGAUAAUAUAUUGAACCGCAUGGUUCAAUAGUGAAAGACGGUUUUGCUGUCACUUAUAGAUGGAUCCGCGCCGCAUUAGCUAGUUGGUAAGGUAACGGCUUACCAAGGCAACGAUGCGUAGCCGACCUGAGAGGGUGAUCGGCCACACUGGAACUGAGACACGGUCCAGACUCCUACGGGAGGCAGCAGUAGGGAAUCUUCCGCAAUGGGCGAAAGCCUGACGGAGCAACGCCGCGUGAGUGAUGAAGGUCUUCGGAUCGUAAAACGCUGUUAUUAGGGAAGAACAAAUGUGUAAGUAACUAUGCACGUCUUGACGGUACCUAAUCAGAAAGCCACGGCUAACUACGUG
Molecule: ribosomal RNA, 497 nt
Filed under: uncultured bacterium
Lineage: Bacteria
Description: partial 16S ribosomal RNA
Rfam family: Bacterial small subunit ribosomal RNA
Source: RNAcentral